RNAcentral lists this ribosomal RNA (506 nucleotides) under [Candida] sp. VITDKGB. RNAcentral describes it as "eukaryotic LSU rRNA". The stretch from base 161 to 314 matches the Rfam family "5.8S ribosomal RNA". Lineage: Eukaryota; Fungi; Ascomycota; Saccharomycetes; Saccharomycetales. The record is from RNAcentral.
UGGCGCAAAGAAAAAACGCGGCCGGCUGACUAUUUUUUUCACCCAUGUCUUUUGCGCACUUGUUGUUUCCUGGGCGGGUUCGCCCGCCACCAGGACCAAACCAUAAACCUUUUUUUUAUGCAGUUGCAAUCAGCGUCAGUAAAAACAAUGUAAUUAUUACAACUUUCAACAACGGAUCUCUUGGUUCUGGCAUCGAUGAAGAACGCAGCGAAAUGCGAUACAUAAUGUGAAUUGCAGAAUUCAGUGAAUCAUCAAAUCUUUGAACGCACAUUGCGCCCUUUGGUAUUCCAAAGGGCAUGCCUGUUCAAGCGUCAUUUGUACCUUCAAGCUUUGCUUGGUGUUGGGCGUUUUUUGUCUCCCUCUUUCUGGGAGACUCGCCUUAAAACGAUUGGCAGCCGGCCUACUGGUUUCGGAGCGCAGCACAUAUUUUGCGCUUUGUAUCAGGAGAAAAGGACGGUAAUCCAUCAAGACUCUACAUUUUAACUUUGACCUCGGAUCAGGGAGGA